AAAAGCUUAUGACUCAGCUUGACUUCUGAAAGCCUGCCAGUUUUACAGCAAACGGAAUUUUCUUCUUCCUUGUUCCUCCGCUUCCAUAGUCCCUUUCAAUUACCACUUUAGGAAGCAGUCUCUCUGCCGCUGCUUUCCCAGAUGCAGGCUUCUUCUAUUGCUGGAUCCUCAGUGUUGUUUCCGCUUCUGUCGGGGAGCUGGGUAGUGGUGUCUCCACCACCCACCUCAGCAGCUCAAUUGCAGUUGGAAACCUGAUUUGCGCUGCCCCAGGACUCCCUGACUGUGCAUUUGGUAGACCAACAAACAAUGGUAAAUGGACUUUUGAGGCCACGUGGUCCCAGGCUCCUGCGUCUAGACAGGCGAGGCUCCAAAGCCUGCUGACGGAGCGCAGUACCCUCAGGGCCUGCUAUCCCAUCACCUUCCCAGAGAAAGUUUCCCUAGAAAUAAAACUGUUCGGCUUCGUCCUCCCCACUUGCCUCUUCUAAGCACCCUCUAAAUCAGACCUGAGGCUCCAUCGGGAGUCAUAGCCUCUCUCUCGCAGCUGGUCUGAGUUUUGUCGUCUGGGAGACUGGGCUUAGAACAGCUUGAAGUUAGUACAGAGGCGAAUGGAGCUUUAAAUCUCCACCACUUAACAGCUUCUCGGCAGCCUCAGAGGAGGGAUGGCUAAAAUGCAAUUGGAGGAAGACAGCAUGGAGGAAACGCUGGAAGACAGAUGGAGCCAUGCCCGGUCCCCCCACUUAAAAGAGCACAGACUCCCCGCCUACCAGCCCGGCUCUAUCCCGGUGGAAUCUGCCUCCCGUGGACUGUGUGUGCUGGCUGGAGAAAAAUUAAAAAGGAAGUAAUUUAAUGUA
Cavia porcellus (domestic guinea pig) is the source of this 851-nucleotide long non-coding RNA. RefSeq lists it as uncharacterized. The record is from RefSeq and is a predicted model, not a curated record. NCBI's taxonomy places the organism in Eukaryota, Metazoa, Chordata, Mammalia, Rodentia, Caviidae. The transcript is spliced from 3 exons.